AAUUUUGGACAAUGGGGGAAAGCCUGAUCCAGCCAUCGCCCGUGUAUAAUGAAGGCCUUCGGGUUGUAAAGUACUUUUGGCAGAGAAGAAAAGGUAUCUCCUAAUACGAGAUACUGCUGACGGUAUCUGCAGAAUAAGCACAGGCUAACUACGUGCCAGCAGCCGCGGUAAUACGUAGGGUGCAAGCGUUAAUCGGAAUUACUGGGAGUAAAGCGUGUGUAGGCGGUUCGGAAAGAAAGAUGUGGAAUCCCAGUGCUCAACCUUGGAAAUGCAUUUUUAACUGCCGAGCUAGAGUAUGUCAGAGGGGGGUAGAAUUCCAAGUGUAGCAGUGAAAUGCGUAGAUAUGUGGAGGAAUACCGAUGGCGAAGGCAGCCCCCUGGGAUAAUACUGACGCUCAGACACGAAAGCGUGGGGAGCAAACA
RNAcentral lists this ribosomal RNA (422 nucleotides) under uncultured bacterium. Its description in RNAcentral is "partial 16S ribosomal RNA". It matches the Rfam family "Bacterial small subunit ribosomal RNA", at positions 360 to 774 of the family's 1533-position model. The record is from RNAcentral.